This 324-nucleotide ribosomal RNA is filed under the name uncultured Pseudomonas sp. Its description in RNAcentral is "bacterial SSU rRNA". It matches the Rfam family "Bacterial small subunit ribosomal RNA", at positions 1060 to 1382 of the family's 1533-position model. Lineage: Bacteria; Pseudomonadati; Pseudomonadota; Gammaproteobacteria; Pseudomonadales; Pseudomonadaceae. The record is from RNAcentral.
UCGUGUCGUGAGAUGUUGGGUUAAGUCCCGUAACGAGCGCAACCCUUGUCCUUAGUUACCAGCACGUUAUGGUGGGCACUCUAAGGAGGACUGCCGGUGACAAACCGGAGGAAGGUGGGGAUGACGUCAAGUCAUCAUGGCCCUUACGGCCUGGGCUACACACGUGCUACAAUGGUCGGUACAAAGGGUUGCCAAGCCGCGAGGUGGAGCUAAUCCCAUAAAACCGAUCGUAGUCCGGAUCGCAGUCUGCAACUCGACUGCGUGAAGUCGGAAUCGCUAGUAAUCGUGAAUCAGAAUGUCACGGUGAAUACGUUCCCGGGCCUU